GUAGGUGGCAAGCGUUGUCCGGAAUUAUUGGGCGUAAAGCGCGCGCAGGCGGUUCUUUAAGUCUGAUGUGAAAGCCCCACGGCUCAACCGUGGAGGGUCAUUUGGAAACUGGAGAACUUGAGUACAGAAGAGGAAAGCGGAAUUCCACGUGUAGCGGUGAAAUGCGUAGAGAUGUGGAGGAACACCAGUGGCGAAGGCGGCUUUCUGGUCUGUAACUGACGCUGAGGCGCGAAAGCGUGGGGAGCAAACAGGGAUUAGAUACCCUGGUAGUCCACGCCGUAAACGAUGAGUGCUAAGGUGUUAGGGGGUUUCCGCCCCCUUAGUGCUGCAGCUAACGCAUUAAGCACUCCGCCUGGGGAGUACGACCGCAAGGUUG
RNAcentral lists this ribosomal RNA (376 nucleotides) under uncultured organism. Its description in RNAcentral is "partial 16S ribosomal RNA". It matches the Rfam family "Bacterial small subunit ribosomal RNA", at positions 527 to 896 of the family's 1533-position model. The record is from RNAcentral.